Odocoileus virginianus texanus is the source of this 2687-nucleotide non-coding RNA. Lineage: Eukaryota; Metazoa; Chordata; Mammalia; Artiodactyla; Cervidae. The record is from RefSeq and is a predicted model, not a curated record.
CUUUGAUCCGGCGCCCUGCAGGCACCGGCUCAUCGCAGGGCCCGGGAGCAGGGUUUCUGAGUCCCCCCUGCCUAUCCCCGGCGCACUGGGACCCUUGCAGAGAAGAAGGGGGCUGCAGGCGGCCCUCAGGGCCUCACCUCGCCUGGCGAAAUUCCCCGGGGCCGCCCUGGACGGGACGCAGGCAUGUGGGACCUUAACUCCCCAACCAGGGGUGGAAUCCACACUGCUGCAUUGGAAGGUGAGACCUAACCACUGGGCCACCAGAGAAACCCCUGGAUCACCCAUUAUGUAAUACACACCUUUUAAAGAAAAUUCUUAACAGCCUUGUGAUACAGAAGAGUUUCUUCCAUGAAGAAGGAACUCAGAAAAAAAAAAAAAAGGAACUCAGAGAAGUCCUGAUACAUCCUAUGUUACCCUGGCUUAUUAAGGGCCGAGCAGCAGUUUUAACAGGACAACAGUAGUGUGACCCUGAAGCCCUGGUCCCUCCUCCUUCCUCAGGCAAUAGGAGGCACCGUAACUCACAUCUGUGGUGGGGUUUUAGAAAGGAAGAGUGGCUUUUUUCUGCUUAAGGCAUUUUGUCUUCAGGAGAUUGCAGUUAAAAUGCAAAUAGACCACCUGGAGAAGUAGCCCAAGCCACAGACAAUUCCUAUCAGUCUGCUGUAGCUCUGAAGUUUGUCCUGUGUCCUUUUGCAGAACAGCUCUUCUACUUCAGGCUCUCAUCCCUCCCCAGACUGCUUGGAAGUUUCUGUCUUUUCUCAGAUCCAAGAGCUUCGGCAUUUGUCUCAGAGGCGGCAACUUGACACAGAGUGGGUAUGGUUGAUGCUCAGGUUGGCUUGUUGAGAAAGUUGUCUUGGCGUGAGGGUCUCCCAUCUGGGUGGGAGAGCACUCAGCAUGGCCGCUCUGAGCCUGUGAUCAUGGCGCCCCUGCGUCAGUGUUUCUGACUGGGAGGAGAUAGAGUGUGGAGCCUGUCACGUGCAGCCGAGUCCAAGCUCGUUCUACUUGCACAACAAGCCAAUAAUUCAACAAGUCAAGAGCUGAGUUAUUGGGGCAAGAAAUAGGAAUUUUAUCCAGAAAACCUGCAGGCCCCGAAGAUGGUGGAUUAGAGUCCCAAAGACCCAUCCUCUGCGAGUUGGAAAUCAGGUUUCUUUUAUACUAAAAGGGGAGAUGGUAAAGCCCUGGUUCUGGAGGGCCUCCCGAGAGGAUGCGUUAAAUGUGUUAAAUUUCUUCCUGCAGCAGUUCACUGGUGGGUCUGGUCAAGAUGUGUCCUGGGAGCUAAACAAAGUUAUUUUUAGCUUACUGCUCAUUACCUGGGAGGAAGGGUUCCAGAGAAGUGCUAUUAUAAUUUAAGCUUAUAGGCAACAUCCCUUUAGUGAUUAACUUGUAAUAUAAUAGAAUACAAAGCUUCUUCCUUAUUGUUUUACUUGGUUAACUGACUCAAACCCUCUGUUCUUCAGGUUCCUCUUUGGCGAGUAAGAUGGUUGUAUUUACUGCAUAUAAUUGUGAGGACUAGGUGAGUGGGGCUCCAUUCAUUCCUUUAGGAUUUACAUCCCAAACCCCAUGCAACCCCUCAAAUAAAUCUGGGUGCUCCCAAUGGGCAAAUUAGCUCCCACUGGGUCAAAAAGCCCAUAUUAUUUAAGCCAAGCAGAACUGUAAUUGGAAUUUGUGUUGCAACCAGCAUCCUUAGCUCCAGAGGUCCCUUUCCUGGGAGGCUGACAGCACAGAUAAGUUCUUCCUCUAGGGCUUUUGUGAGCCUGAAAGGUUAAUCUCCUGAAACCUCUAGCAAGUAGAAGGAAGGGUUUGAAGGAGGAUUUCUUUUCCCCACUUAGGCCCUGUUUCCAAUUCAUCCAAACCUACAGUGCAGAAGCACUGGAUUCUACCACGAACCAGAAUCUUUUGAGCUUCCCAGAGGGCCCUGACUGAUGGGAAGUGUUGACGAUAGUCUCCUGCACAGAGAUCUUGUUACAUGAAAACUAGGUUCGCCUCCUGAUGGAUGUUGAGCCAAUAGAUACAACCAAGCCAAAGAUCAAGAGAAGGAUGUGUUAUUACUUGAGUCAAAGGUGAACACAAGGGAUCUUUCCCAAAGUGGUGUCUCCCAGAGCAGCAAAACUGGUACAUGCAUAUUAAUGAAGGGGCUUGAGCCCAGGUAAAUUAGUGUAGAAUCAGAGCAAAGCUGACAGAGUCCAGGUCUUAGCAGAUUGAAGUCAGGAGGAGGAUCAACAUUACCAUUCCACCCCUACUUAGUGGAGGCCUUAGUUCCUGUAGAACUCAAAGAUUUAUUAUUGUGCAUUGCUUAUUAUUCAUAUACUAUAUCACUAUGUAUACUUACUGAUUAUAGUUAACACAUUGUAUUGUUAUGUGUCCUUUGAGGAGGAACUAGGACUCUGCUUUACCUUGCACUGUUGUUUGACUGCCAUUUCUCUGUUCCUGGAUUCCUUUUUUGCCCUUAGAAGUAAUUAUUGAGACCUGUUCAAAAGCAAGCAUUGUGGCCAGGCUUAGAUCACAAAAUGACUUAGACCAAAAUGGGUUCUCUUAUGUCAGAAAGGCCAUUCCUGUUUCUCUUUCUCCAGGAGCCCCUAACGUAUCUACUUACGACCUGCCUUCUCAACACUUGAAGAAUAUACACUUCACAUUUGUACACUUCAUCAUUAUGACAUGAUCCUCUACAUAGAAAGCCCUAAAGACUCUAC